This 176-nucleotide ribosomal RNA is filed under the name uncultured bacterium. RNAcentral describes it as "partial 16S ribosomal RNA". It matches the Rfam family "Bacterial small subunit ribosomal RNA", at positions 1327 to 1500 of the family's 1533-position model. The record is from RNAcentral.
UGGAAUCGCUAGUAAUCGCGGAUCAGAAUGCCGCGGUGAAUACGUUCCCGGGUCUUGUACACACCGCCCGUCACACCAUGGGAGUCGGAAAUGCCCGAAGUCUGUGACCCAACCUGAGAGGGAGGGAGCAGCCGAAGGCAGGUCUGAUGACUGGGGUGAAGUCGUAACAAGGUAUC